CCAGUACCGUGAGGGAAAGGUGAAAAGCACCCCGGAAGGGGAGUGAAACAGUUCCUGAAACCGUGUGCCUACAAGUAGUUAGAGCCCGUUAAUGGGUGAUAGCGUGCCUUUUGUAGAAUGAACCGGCGAGUUACGAUUUGUUGCAAGGUUAAGCGGAAAAAGCGGAGCCGUAGCGAAAGCGAGUCUGAAUAGGGCGCAUAAGUAACAGGUCGUAGACCCGAAACCAGGUGAUCUACCCAUGUCCAGGAUGAAGGUAAGGUAAUACUUACUGGAGGUCCGAACCCACGCACGUUGAAAAGUGCGGGGAUGAGGUGUGGGUAGCGGAGAAAUUCCAAUCGAACUUGGAGAUAGCUGGUUCUCUCCGAAAUAGCUUUAGGGCUAGCCUCGAGGUAAAGAGUCAUGGAGGUAGAGCACUGUUUGGACUAGGGGCCCUUCUCGGGUUACCGAAUUCAGAUAAAC
RNAcentral lists this ribosomal RNA (459 nucleotides) under Listeria monocytogenes. Its description in RNAcentral is "partial 23S ribosomal RNA". It matches the Rfam family "Bacterial large subunit ribosomal RNA", at positions 495 to 954 of the family's 2925-position model. The record is from RNAcentral. Lineage: Bacteria; Bacillati; Bacillota; Bacilli; Caryophanales; Listeriaceae.